CCCCUCAGUCCUGCGGCUCACAUUCACCUCUCUCUCAACGCCGGUCGCCGCCUAGAUGUGUCACCUGACUUGCCACCGUCCUCCACUCUCGUCUCAGAUUUGACCCCAAAGUCAAGCGGCAGGCAGCAGCAGCAGGUUCCCGUGUCGCCAUGAGCUGGAUGGGGAAGCGGGGGUUGGGUGGGGAGAGCCCGCACUGGCGGAGAAGACGGACGAGGACCGGCGGCCCCAGAGCUACCUCGCCGCCGCGUCCAGUUCAACCCUGCCUCCUGCAAGCACGGCGACUUCUUCGACACCGUCUGGGCGGGCCACGACUAACCACGCCCAAUCUCUUCAGGUCAGUACAGUACAGUACAGUAGGGAAUUUGGGAUUUUUUUUUUGAAACUGAAAUUGAGGAAAUUUUGACACAAAUAAAUGUGGAGACUGAGUUGUUUGGUCAAUUAGUUAAUCAACACGUACACCAGAGACAAUUUGUUCCAACAUUGACACGAUUUGUGAUCUAGAGAUAAUGAGAUAUGCUCAUGUUCUAUUGCUACUCGAACCAUGACAUGUACCGUGGUUUUCGUGGGAUAAUAUAAUUGAGUCCAUUCAAUCCGUUGAGGCCUCGUGGUUAUCUAUUUUUUUUCAUGUUUCUCGCGUAGUGGUUAGUGCCUGCCUCGCAGCCAUGGACUCCUGUUACCGAAUUAUUUGGCGAUCUGGCGCUGAUUUUUUGGUGCGGCCACCAAAAAAUUCUCGCGCGCCGGCGCACCACGCACCAAAUCAGGUCCUAAACUAACCGCCAUAGUCUCCUGGUCCUCUUUGAAAACAAACACAUCCUCGUUCUCCAAACCAAUCUAGCUCGAGGGGUGCCCGACGUCCCUCUGCUUCCACUCCGACUAGUCAGGAGUUCCUCUGCUCAAUCGGCACGCAGCGAUCACAGUGGGGCGCCACGGUAUCAUUCUCUUCUCCCUCCCCAUUCCCCUCUCUCCUCGUCUCUCUCACACCCCCUUGAGUACUUUUCUUCUUUUCUGUCUUGCGUGAUUGUGCUGAUUGUCCAUUAUUUGUACGUUGCAAUUUCUUUUCUGCACGAACCAUCAGUAUUGGUCUGUUGGCGGUUCAUAAUUUUAGUUUGACAAUUUUUCUUGUUGUACAAGUUGAACUUGUUUUCUUUCUUUUCUUUCUAAACCAUGUUAGCCGGGAACUAAUUAUGUAAGAAACAGAGAGAAUAUUUGUAGAACCUUAAAUCUAGGAUUCA
RNAcentral lists this ribosomal RNA (1232 nucleotides) under Triticum aestivum (bread wheat). RNAcentral's name for it is "partial small subunit ribosomal RNA". The record is from RNAcentral. Lineage: Eukaryota; Viridiplantae; Streptophyta; Magnoliopsida; Poales; Poaceae.